CAAAUACUCCCUCCGUCCCAAAAUUCUUGUCUUAGAUUUUAUCUAAAUACUGAUGUAUCUAGUUACGUUUUAGUGUUAGAUACAUCCGUAUCUAAAAAAAAAUUUAAGACGAGAAUUUUGGAACGGAGGAAGUACAUA
Molecule: non-coding RNA, 138 nt
Organism: Triticum urartu
Lineage: Eukaryota; Viridiplantae; Streptophyta; Magnoliopsida; Poales; Poaceae
Source: Rfam